AAAACGGUCCUUUUCAGGACCACCAAAUUAUUUGCCAUAAGAACUCG
This is a non-coding RNA of Anopheles merus, 47 nucleotides long. The record is from Rfam. Lineage: Eukaryota; Metazoa; Arthropoda; Insecta; Diptera; Culicidae.